Cynoglossus semilaevis (tongue sole) is the source of this 2943-nucleotide RNA transcript. It is a transcript of the gene named helicase, lymphoid specific, with no coding region annotated. Lineage: Eukaryota; Metazoa; Chordata; Actinopteri; Pleuronectiformes; Cynoglossidae. The transcript is spliced from 24 exons. The record is from RefSeq and is a predicted model, not a curated record.
ACGUCUCAGACGUUAACCGUUAAACAAUUAUGGGCAAUUUGCUUUUGUUUUGACACAUUCUACCCGGAUUACUGGACAACGUCAGGCAAGCGCUCUCAGGGGCGGCAGCGUGUAAACUCGAGGGUGUUUGACGAAAGUUAUUCAUGUCCUUUUAAGAUAUUAUUUAUUUUUCGUUUAUUUAGUAACAACUUAUUUCUUGGAAGCAAUGAGCUGCACAAACGAUUGUGACAGUUUGUCAAACGGCUCUCCUGAUCCAGACGUGUGCGAGAAGCCAGUUGAAACAGUGAUGGAAAAUGGGUCUUCAAUUUGUGACACCGCGACGUCCGGACCAAUGACACCCGAAGUGCUCAUCACGAAGGAAAUGGAGGAAGAAGAGAGGCAACUGAUGGAGGAAGGAGAGAGAAAAGAAAAAGAGCUGAUUGAAAAGGCCCGCAAGUCAUUGGAAAGGGAUUCUCAUGACAUGCGCUUCAAGAGACUUCAGCAUUUGCUUCAGAAGAGCAACAUCUACUCCAAAUUCCUCCUAACCAAAAUGGAGCAACAGCAGGCUGAGGAGAAACCCCGGAAGGAGAACCUGGACAAUAAGGGCACACAGAAUGCCGAACACGGAAAAGAUGAUGCUAAACUAGGAAGGAAAAGGAGAAGAAAUGAAGAAUACAGAAUAUCAGAUGUCAUUACAAAAGAGGAAAUAAUGUCUCACGCUAAGAAAGCAAAAACGGAGGAAGAGGACGGCACAUCGCUGCAGAAAAAACUGCAAGCAGAGGACAUCGAGAAAAUGACUGAUUCCAACCAAGACAUCAAGAAUCGUCUGUCGGAGAGAGUGCGGGACAACGCCAAGCACCUUCUGGAUCCUCACAGGAAAGUGGACGGCCAGCCUGUCCCAGCCCAGCAGCCAGAGCUUCUCACCGGGGGCAUCAUGAAGUUGUACCAGAUCGAAGGCAUCGAGUGGUUGCGGAUGUUGUGGGAGAACGGUAUCAACGGAAUCCUUGCUGAUGAGAUGGGACUAGGAAAGACCGUUCAGUGCAUCGCCCACAUCGCCAUGAUGAUAGAAAAAAAAGUCAUGGGCCCGUUCCUGGUUGUUGCGCCGCUCUCAACUUUGCCCAAUUGGAUUAGUGAAUUCAAACGUUUCACACCAGAGGUUUCUGUGCUGCUUUACCACGGACCGCAGUCAGAGAGGGCCAAAGUCCUUAAGGAGUUUCGCAGACCUCAGGGCUCCCUCGGCAUGCUGCCGGUGGUCGUCACCUCUUUUGAGAUCUCGAUGAUUGACAGGAAAUUUUUGCAGCGAUUCCAGUGGAAGUAUCUCAUUGUGGACGAAGGUCACCGCAUCAAGAACCUCAACUGUCGACUGGUGCGCGAACUGAAGAUGCUUCCCACCGACAACAAGCUGCUACUGACGGGCACACCCCUUCAGAACAACCUGGCGGAGCUUUGGUCCCUGCUCAACUUCCUACUGCCAGAGGUGUUCGAUGACCUGAAGAGCUUUGAGUCGUGGUUCGACAUUGACACGCUUGUCGAGGCUGAUAAUGUCGUGGCUGCUGAGCGGGAGCAAAAUAUCCUAAGCAUGUUGCACCAGAUCCUCACCCCAUUUCUGUUGAGGAGGCUGAAGUCAGACGUAACCCUGGAGGUUCCUCCUAAAAAGGAGAUUGUCGUUUACGCUCCUCUCACAGCCAAACAGGAGGCCUUUUAUACUGCUGUGGUCAACAAGACCAUCACCAAAAUGCUCGGGCAGGAAAAGUCCGAAGCUCCGGUAGCAUUAACGUCGAGUGGGAGGCCCAAGCGUAACAGUCGAAAGCCGGUGGAUUACAAAGAAACUGAAAAGGACACACCAUACGACCUGGAAAAGUAUUUAGAAAGAGUUCGCACCGAGAUGGAGCAAAGAUCCUCUGCAGUGGUGGACAUUCAGAGCCCAUUGGAUGCUGUUAUUAACCUGAAGCUGCAGAAUAUCCUCAUGCUGCUGAAGAGAUGCUGUAAUCACCCCUACUUGGUGGAGUACCCCAUUGACCCUGUCACACAGGAGUUCAAGAUUGAUGAGCAACUGGUGCAGAGCUCUGGGAAGUUUCUAAUUCUUGACAGGUUGCUGCCUGCCUUGAAAAAAAGAGGGAACAAGGUUUUGAUCUUCAGCCAGAUGACAUCCAUCCUGGACAUAUUAAUGGAUUACUGCUAUUUGCGAGGUUUCGAGUACAGCCGACUGGAUGGCAGCAUGUCCUUCGCUGAGAGAGAUGAAAAUAUAAAAAAGUUCUCCGAGGAUCCCGAAGUGUUCCUGUUCUUGCUCAGCACCAGAGCGGGAGGCCUCGGAAUCAACCUGACUGCUGCCGAUACCGUCAUCAUUUUUGACAGCGACUGGAACCCACAAGCAGACUUGCAGGCACAGGAUCGCUGUCACCGCCUUGGUCAGACCAAACCGGUCGUGGUGUACCGUUUGGUCACAGCCAAUACCAUCGACCAAAAGAUUGUGGAGAGGGCUUCAGCCAAAAGAAAGCUUGAACAAAUGGUCAUUCACAAGAAAAAAUUCAAGGGUGCGAAAGCAGAGCUUGACCAAAGUAAGAGCUGCAUUGAUCUGGAUGAGCUGAUGGAUCUGCUUAAAUCAAGAGACCCAGAGAAGGAGGUGAAAGCAUCAAAGGGGAAGUUGAUCAGUGACAAAGACCUGGAGAUCUUGCUGGAUCGCAGUGACUUACUGAACAAAGACAAGGGGAGCUUGAAGAGAGAGAAAGUUGGCGUUUUCAAAGUGGUUGAUGCCAAAUAGUCAUCGCUAUUGAUCUGAGGAAAAACUUGAAAAAUACGCAUUUCUACUGAAACGACGAAAGCCGCACCAAAACACACACAGCUGAGGAGUUCAAAUCUGCACCAGCAAUUCCGUUCCGGUUAUGCCGUUUUGUUUGCAGACUCUUUUCGUUCAACGACGAUUCUUUUCGUUUUGGAGAUUGAUGUUCAUAGUUGGAAACAAAA